RNAcentral lists this ribosomal RNA (494 nucleotides) under uncultured bacterium. RNAcentral's name for it is "partial 16S ribosomal RNA". It matches the Rfam family "Bacterial small subunit ribosomal RNA", at positions 28 to 523 of the family's 1533-position model. The record is from RNAcentral.
GAUGAACGCUGGCGGCGUGCCUAACACAUGCAAGUCGAACGGAGCUGCUUUGAUGAAGUUUUCGGAUGGAUUUAAAACAGCUUAGUGGCGGACGGGUGAGUAACGCGUGGGUAACCUGCCUCACACUGGGGGAUAACAGUUAGAAAUAGCUGCUAAUACCGCAUAAGCGCACAGUUCCGCAUGGAACAGUGUGAAAAACUCCGGUGGUGUGAGAUGGACCCGCGUCUGAUUAGCCAGUUGGCGGGGUAACGGCCCACCAAAGCGACGAUCAGUAGCCGGCCUGAGAGGGUGAACGGCCACAUUGGGACUGAGACACGGCCCAAACUCCUACGGGAGGCAGCAGUGGGGAAUAUUGCACAAUGGGGGAAACCCUGAUGCAGCGACGCCGCGUGAGUGAAGAAGUAUUUCGGUAUGUAAGGCUCUAUCAGCAGGGAAGAAAGUGACGGUACCUGAAUAAGAAGCCCCGGCUAACUACGUGCCAGCAGCCGCCGUAA